UACAAUGACUCUCGGCAACGGAUAUCUCGGCUCUUGCAUCGAUGAAGAGCGUAGCGAAAUGCGAUACUUGGUGUGAAUUGCAGAAUCCCGUGAACCAUCGAGUCUUUGAACGCAAGUUGCGCCCGAAGCCAUUAGGCCGAGGGCACGUCUGCCUGGGUGUCACA
RNAcentral lists this ribosomal RNA (164 nucleotides) under Coursetia hintonii. RNAcentral describes it as "5.8S ribosomal RNA". It matches the Rfam family "5.8S ribosomal RNA". Rfam says of the family: 5.8S ribosomal RNA (5.8S rRNA) is a component of the large subunit of the eukaryotic ribosome. It is transcribed by RNA polymerase I as part of the 45S precursor that also contains 18S and 28S rRNA. Lineage: Eukaryota; Viridiplantae; Streptophyta; Magnoliopsida; Fabales; Fabaceae. The record is from RNAcentral.